GACGAACGCUUUCUUCUUUCUUAACACAUGCAAGUCGAACGGAAAGGCCCUGCUUUUGUGGGGUGCUCGAGUGGCGAAAGGGUGAGUAACACGUGAGUAACAUGUCCCUGACUUUGGGAUAACUUCAGGAAAAUGGGGCUAAAAUAGGAUAGGAGCUCCUGCUGCACGGUGGGGGUUGGAAAGUUUCGGCGGUUGGGGAUGGACUCGUGGCUUAUCAGUUUGUUGGUGGGGUAGUGGCUUACCAAGGCUUUGACGGGUAGCCGGCCUGCGAGGGUGACCGGCCACAUUGGGACUGAGAUACGGCCCAGACUCCUACGGGAGGCAGCGGUGGGGAAUAUUGCACAAUGGGCGGAAUCCUGAUGCAGCAACGCCGCGUGCGAGAUGACGGCUGUCGGUUUGUAAACCGCUUUCGCCUGGGACGAAGCGUGAGUGACGGUAAUGGGUAAAGAAGCACCGGCUAACUACGUG
This 468-nucleotide ribosomal RNA is filed under the name uncultured bacterium. Its description in RNAcentral is "partial 16S ribosomal RNA". It matches the Rfam family "Bacterial small subunit ribosomal RNA", at positions 28 to 507 of the family's 1533-position model. The record is from RNAcentral.